Molecule: RNA transcript, 2369 nt
Organism: Rosa chinensis
Lineage: Eukaryota; Viridiplantae; Streptophyta; Magnoliopsida; Rosales; Rosaceae
Gene name: selenium-binding protein 2-like
Exons: 10
Source: RefSeq, a predicted model, not a curated record
UUUGGAUUUUUUGCGCACAGUGAGAAGAGUGCAGCGGAGGAGGGAGAGAACAGGUUAUAGGAGAGUUUGUUUCCGCCGUGCCCAGAAUAGCCCAAUAGAAAUCGGAGAAGCUGAUCCAGGAAUUGUAUUAGCCUAAUCUACAUCAGUGUAACUUUGGGUUAGAGUAACAGAGCGAAGAGGAAUACCAGGAGAGCUUAGUUUGUAGAAGAUGUGCAAUCCUAUCUCACACAGCCUAGCUCCGACUGUAAAUCUGUCUUCGCUUUUCUCCAAGAAAGGGGCUAGAUUAGCAAAAGCUGUACAGAAGUUGGGAAGAUAAUCCGGAUGUCGGUUUUAUACUUUUAUUGCAUUGAAGGGCAGUGGCAAGGCAUUUUGUGCGGGUGGAGAUAUCGUGUCUCUCUAUCAUUUCAGCAAGAAAAACUAAAAGAAGGAAAUAAAUUCAUACCAUUAUGAGGGAAUGGAGGAAAUGAGGACCAAAAAUUAAGGAGCCCAAACCGAUAGGUCUUGAUAUUGAGGCUAUCAGGACAACACGGCCACCUGCACUUGCAGUUUUCACAAGCCUCAAAUUGAAACAAUAUCAAAAGAACACAACACCAGCAACUACCUUCAAGAAGACCUGUCUGUACUACAUUUGGUCAUCAUAGCCAUUACCAAAAGCUGCAGUUUGUCUCCUUCCUCAUCAAACUUCAUAAGGAAGAACAAGUAAAAUAGACAUUUCAUCCUGGUUUGUAUAAGAUAUUGUAUUUGGCACUGGCAGACAACAGAAAACAACUUCUUCAAAUUGAAGCAAUGUUAGAAAAAAAAACGAAGCAAUGAGAAGCAAUUCAAACCACUAAUCUCAAGUCAGUAACUAAAAUAAAUUGGCUUUUCUUCAUGAGGAAAGUGUAUCUUUGGAACUGCAAUUUCUUUUCCUUUUAUGAUUUGGUUUAUAAAUUGCGAGCACAUUCUUUGAUUUUGCAAAUCACUGUUUCCAAUAAUUAGCAAGUAAAAACGUACGACGAUUCAAAGCCACUUGAUUUGGAUGCCUGGAUAUAUAAGAUCAUUUCUUUACCCAAAAUCAAAUUCUGAUCAAAGGGAAAUAAAUAAAAUAACCAAGCAAAAAUUCUGAAAAUAUGUUUCUUGCAUUUUUCUUUUUUUAUUGACUUGAGUUCUUUCAUUCCCUAUUCUGCUCCCCUGUUUGAAUUUGAUCUGAACAAGUUUCAGAUCAUUCCUAUAGUGCUCUCAUUUGACCUUCUCAAUUAUUGUUCAAUUUGCUUUUCGUUGUAGAAACAAUGUGACUUGCGUGAAUCAGACAGAGUUGACAAGAAGCUGUUCCAACCUGCACUGUAUCUGAAAUUGAUUAAUCUUGGUUUUCCUGGGCGUGACUAUCAAUUUACUAUCAAGACAACAUUUUUUUUAAUACGCUGGUGACAUUACCAACCGAACUCGGGAAAACACACAUCACUGCAGUUGUUAUGUACUACUUCAGAUGAUUUCCUAAUGAAAGCAUUAGUGUGGACACUCAGAAGGUGGAAGCAAUUUCUUCGGAUUCUGGUGGCCCUAGCCAGGGUCUAGCGAAGAGAGCUAUUUCUACUUCUGGAUCGUCUAUUGAUAGUGGGGGUAGCAGUGGAUCUGGAUCUCGUUCUCGAAACAGAUGUCAUGGGGCCCAGAGGACCAACAGGAGGCAGUUUGGUCGACGACAGCUACUGUCACUUUUUAUUCUCUGUCAGGGAAUUUUUGGCAGAUCAGGUCACAUAUAUGUGAUCGACACAAAAACAGAUCCAGAAGCUCCCUCUCUGCAUAAAGUUGUUCACCCUGAAGACAUCGUACAGAAGACUGGAUUGGCAUACCUACACACAUCUCACUGCCUUGCAUCUGGUGAUUUCUUCUCAUUGACUCAGAGUUUAAUGUCAAGGGAAGGUAAUGCCCUCUGUUCCAGUUGUGUACUACUAUCUUCAUUAAUGAAAACUACCACAACAACUCCAUACCACUUUGGCAAGUUACCGACAUUUCCAUCCAAUCCAAAAUUUGCACCAAUGCAAGCUGCCACAACUAUUUGGCAUAUCAACAUUUGACUUCCUCCCUCAAAGAAGAGCUUCCUCCUUCCUCACUUAUAAACACCAUACAUUGAAACUAUUGUUGCAGCAGCAUUAACAAGUCCGGUGAUCACAACUGAUAUGAGAGAAGCAUCACUUCCCAAAGUUAAUAGUUCAUUUUUUUUCUCUCUGAAACUUUUAUCAGGCAAUAACUAAUUUCCCAAAGUUUGACAUAAAACAAGAGUAGCAUAUUGAAAUGAAUAGCUAUAAUACUGAUAGUCUUGGCCUCUGUUGAGAUUGUUUUAUUAUGAAUAACUUUUGGUUUUAUUUUGAACUUUGCUUGAACUUCCUUCCAAA